RNAcentral lists this ribosomal RNA (429 nucleotides) under Bacillota bacterium. RNAcentral's name for it is "Firmicutes bacterium partial 16S ribosomal RNA". It matches the Rfam family "Bacterial small subunit ribosomal RNA", at positions 355 to 776 of the family's 1533-position model. The record is from RNAcentral. Lineage: Bacteria; Bacillati; Bacillota.
UAGGGAAUCUUCGGCAAUGGACGGAAGUCUGACCGAGCAACGCCCCGUGAGUGAAGAAGGUUUUCGGAUCGUAAAGCUCUGUUGUUAGAGAAGAACGUUGGUAGGAGUGGAAAAUCUACCAAGUGACGGUAACUAACCAGAAAGGGACGGCUAACUACGUGCCAGCAGCCGCGGUAAUACGUAGGUCCCGAGCGUUGUCCGGAUUUAUUGGGCGUAAAGCGAGCGCAGGCGGUUCUUUAAGUCUGAAGUUAAAGGCAGUGGCUUAACCAUUGUACGCUUUGGAAACUGGAGGACUUGAGUGCAGAAGGGGAGAGUGGAAUUCCAUGUGUAGCGGUGAAAUGCGUAGAUAUAUGGAGGAACACCGGUGGCGAAAGCGGCUCUCUGGUCUGUAACUGACGCUGAGGCUCGAAAGCGUGGGGAGCAAACAGG